Anas platyrhynchos (mallard) is the source of this 2359-nucleotide long non-coding RNA. RefSeq lists it as uncharacterized. The record is from RefSeq and is a predicted model, not a curated record. Lineage: Eukaryota; Metazoa; Chordata; Aves; Anseriformes; Anatidae.
GCUUAAGAAAGAAUCCAGAGGAAUUGCAGUUUCAGAGGUACAGGUGUCUUGACUCUGUUACUGAAUCCACAAGGUGGAAGGAGUCCAAGGCUGAAUGGAGCAUCAUUCCCCAGCAACUCGUACCAGAUGUUAAAGAAAUGAAUAGAAAUGAAAGUCAGCAUUCCCUGGGAUGAAAGUAUCAAGGUUUUUUCACUGUCAUGGAUAGAAGAGGCUCUGGGAAACUGCCUUGUUUUCUCCCAUAUGAAGCUGGAGGUGGAUGAAGGCUGGGAAAUCUUUGUCUCUGUAUCCAGACUUGAGAUGCCUGUUAGUGCAGCUCAGCAAGGGAUGAAGGUAUCUCUUCCCCUUGUCCAGGAAGGCACCGUGGGCGUCAAAGUGAGUCCUGGGAUCACACAGCUCCUGACCUACCACAGCUACACACCACCCCACUUAUUCAGGGGUUGCAAAUGGCUUACUACACAGCUAUAAAUUCCAGAUUUCUCCUCUACAUAUUGGAUUGCUCAUCAGUUAUCUGGAUGGCCCAGUGGCAGCACAGUCUGGUUUAUUCUGGAGCUACUCAGAACUUAUUUCAUAUGUCAAAUGUUCAUAACUGUUCAGACUUUGGCAGGUUUUUGGUUGUCUGAUUCAUAUGGAUAUUUGUUUUUGGCCAUAGAUUUAGCUUGCUCAGAGUUUUUAUGAGGUCUGGUGGAGGCUUCUGUGUUACUCUUUGGCUUACAAACCUAAUUUUGAUGUGAUGAUUAGAUGAUAAAAAGUAUUUCUCCUUGCUUGGAAGAUGCUACCAUAUGAGGGCUAUGGGACCAUAAACUCAUUCCUAGGAUAACGUCAGGCUAUAAACUACAAAUUAGUUGUCAAUGUAAAGAAAUACUCCUACCCAACCAAACCCAGGCCUUGCCUGUAAUCUUCCAGGGAACAGGGGCAAAUAGAUGGUAACCCCAGCAAAGAAACACAGUGGUGAGACAGUCCCAGGAAGUUCAGGUAAAGGAAAGUGUCAGCAGUCUGCUUUGAUUCACUGGGAUCUAGGGCACAUCAGCUGUUUCUAAUAGUGAAUGCUGAGCCUUAGCAAAACCUUGAAAUUCAUUUUUGAGUGUGUUUAGUGUCUAGCCAAGGAACUUCUUUUUGCUAAAACUUUUCCACUAUAACUGGCAGAAAUGCAACUGAUCAUAACUGCAUAUGAAAGAUUGCACAACACAUCUCCCUGUGAGCCAGAAACAGGGAAAAGUCAAAGAGCAUCCCAGAUAUAUUACAGUGAGCAUUUAGAUUAAAUGGUAGCAUAGCCAUGUAUACCUGUCCUGAAUGUCCCCAAGUACUGAAUGUAAGGACUGUGGUUCACUUUUAAGUCUUUCAAGAAUUACCAUACAAAUAUCAAGAAGUCCAGCUACAAAAGAUGGACCUUUUGUUUGUUUUAGACAUUACUCAUCUAUGGUAUUUCUUCUGUGGGUAGGAGAAUCUUUCCUGCAAAGUUUGCUGUAUCCUUUUCUUGAGUAAUUAUUGCAGACUACCAGAGCUCCUGUAUAUUUGUGCUGGGUAAUUUGUUGGCUGCUUUAUAGUGCAGAGAAAUUUAGAUGAGAUAAGGCUCUGACCCCAUGCAAUUUAGAAGGAUCGUGACUACUGCUGCCUCGGCACAAUUUUAAAACCAAAAGAAAGAUUUAUACUAGGUUUUAGAGAAUAAUUUAAUGAUUUAAUUUUGUUAGUGUUUCCCCUUACUCACCAGGCACAGCAAAAUUUGAGUAGAUAGCCCAUAUCUGUGUCCCUUCCCCAUCCUUCCCAGCUGGCUUUUGUUCCCAGAAACACAAAAGUAGUCUUUUGGGAGAGGAAGAAAGAGAAGCUAACACCAACAAGAUAAUCAUAGUGGGGGUACUUAGGGCAGAAUAAUAUUUUAAGGUAAUAAGUAAAACAAAGAUGUACAUCAGUUGAGUGAAUCAAAUCAUCGUUGGAGAGGAUGAGUUCUGUUACGUUAUUGAAUGAAACUUAUCCACUGAAGUUUAAAUCAGUGAUGUUUGCUACUGCAACUCGCUUUCUGUGGCAGGUUUGUGUUAUUUUUCGGAUUAUAUAUUUUUCCCUGUUGUUCCUGUUAAUACCAAAUUUAUAGAAAAUAUGGUGGGUUUUUGUUUGCUUUAUUCUUGGACUUGUUCUCAAGUAAAGGGAAAGAAGAGAACAGAAUUUUAUACAAAUGCUUGCUGAAAUUUACAGCUGAAGAACAUUUGAUUUGAAGUUUAGACAUGUAAUGCUCUCCAUAAGUUACCUACUAUAAAUUUGAAACUGAUGUUAUAGUUUUGAUUACACAUUUUUAUGAUGCAUUUUGUGCCUCAUUUCCAGACAGAUUUAUAGCCCUUACAGAAUACUAAAUGAGUGACUCCACAUG